RNAcentral lists this ribosomal RNA (1371 nucleotides) under Triticum aestivum (bread wheat). RNAcentral's name for it is "partial small subunit ribosomal RNA". Lineage: Eukaryota; Viridiplantae; Streptophyta; Magnoliopsida; Poales; Poaceae. The record is from RNAcentral.
AUGGGGGCUCCGAGCAGGGAGGAGGAGGAGGCGAAGAAGAUGGAGGCCGGCGGCGACACCGUCGGCCAGAAGCUCGACGCCGGCGCGCUCUUCGUCCUCCAGUCCAAAGGGUCAUGGCUGCACUGCGGGUACCACCUGACGACGUCGAUCGUGGCGCCGCCGCUGCUGAGCCUGCCGUUCGCGUUCGCGGCGCUGGGGUGGUCGGCGGGGAUGGUGUGCCUCGUCGUCGGCGCCGCCGUCACCUUCUACUCCUACAACCUCCUCUCCCGCGUGCUCGAGCACCACGCGCAGCAGGGCCGCCGCCAGCUCCGCUUCAGGGACAUGGCCGCCGACAUACUAGGACCCGGAUGGGCGCGCUACUACAUCGGGCCGAUCCAGUUCAUGGUGUGCUUCGGCGCCGUGGUCGCGUCCACGCUGCUCGCCGGCCAGAGCAUGAAGGCCAUCUACCUGAUCGCCAGCCCCGGCGGCGCCAUCAAGCUCUACGUCUUCGUGGCCAUCUUCGGCGUCUUCCUCGUCGUCCUCGCGCAGCUGCCGUCCUUCCACUCCCUCCGCCACGUCAACCUCGUCUCCCUGCUGCUCUGCCUCUCCUACAGCCUCUGCGCCGUCGCCGGCUGCGUCUACCUCGGCACCUCCGACCGGCCGCCCCCCAAGGACUACUCCAUCGUCGGCGACACCCAUGCCCGCGUCUACGGCGUCUUCAACGCCCUCGCCGUCAUCGCCACCACCUACGGCAACGGCAUCAUCCCCGAGAUACAGGCGACGGUGGCCGCGCCGGUGACGGGGAAGAUGUUCAAGGGCCUGUGCCUGUGCUACGCGGUGGUGGUGACCACCUUCUUCAGCGUGGCCACGGCGGGGUACUGGGCGUUCGGCAACGCGGCGCAGGGCCUGCUGCUCAACAACUUCAUGGUGGACGGCAAGCCCGUCAUCCCGGUGUGGCUGCUGCUCAUGGCGGAGCUCUUCACGCUGGUGCAGCUGUCGGCCACGGCCACCGUGUACCUGCAGCCGACCAACGAGGUGCUGGAGGGCCUCCUGUCGGACCCCAAGGCCGGGCAGUACGCGGCGCGGAACGUGGUGCCGCGGCUCGUGUCCCGCACCUUGGCCGUCGCCUUCGGCACCACCAUCGCCGCCAUGAUACCCUUCUUCGGCGACAUGAACGCGCUCAUCGGGGCCUUCGGCUUCAUGCCGCUCGACUUCGCCGUGCCGGCGCUCUUCUACAACCUCACCUUCAAGCCCUCCAAGAAGGGCUUCGUCUUCUGGCUCAACACGGCCAUCGCCGUCGUGUUCUCCGCGGUCGCCGUCGUCGCGUCCGUGGCCGCCGUCAGGCAGAUCGUGCUGGACGCCGGCACGUACAAGCUCUUCGCUAACGUGUGA